AACCAGACUCCUACGGGAGGCAGCAGUGGGGAAUAUUGCACAAUGGGGGAAACCCUGAUGCAGCAACGCCGCGUGAGUGAAGAAGUAUUUCGGUAUGUAAAGCUCUAUCAGCAGGGAAGAAGAUGACGGUACCUGACCAAGAAGCCCCGGCUAACUACGUGCCAGCAGCCGCGGUAAUACGUAGGGGGCAAGCGUUAUCCGGAUUUACUGGGUGUAAAGGGAGCGUAGACGGCUGUGCAAGCCAGAUGUGAAAGCCCGGGGCUCAACCCCGGGACUGCAUUUGGAACUGUGUGGCUGGAGUGUCGGAGAGGCAGGCGGAAUUCCUAGUGUAGCGGUGAAAUGCGUAGAUAUUAGGAGGAACACCAGUGGCGAAGGCGGCCUGCUGGACGAUGACUGACGUUGAGGCUCGAAAGCGUGGGGAGCAAACAGGAUUAGAUACCCUCGUACA
Molecule: ribosomal RNA, 448 nt
Filed under: uncultured bacterium
Lineage: Bacteria
Description: bacterial SSU rRNA
Rfam family: Bacterial small subunit ribosomal RNA
Source: RNAcentral